UACGAGAGCGACGAACGUUAUCCGGAAUUACUGGGCGUAAAGCGCACGUAGGCGGACUAUUAAGUCAGGGGUGAAAUCCCGGGGCUCAACCCCGGAACUGCCUUUGAUACUGGUAGUCUCGAGUCCGGAAGAGGUGAGUGGAAUUCCGAGUGUAGAGGUGAAAUUCGUAGAUAUUCGGAGGAACACCAGUGGCGAAGGCGGCUCACUGGUCCGGUACUGACGCUGAGGUGCGAAAGCGUGGGGAGCAAACAGG
RNAcentral lists this ribosomal RNA (253 nucleotides) under uncultured bacterium. Its description in RNAcentral is "partial 16S ribosomal RNA". It matches the Rfam family "Bacterial small subunit ribosomal RNA", at positions 524 to 776 of the family's 1533-position model. The record is from RNAcentral.